GAUAACUAUUUGCAGGACGGUUCCUCGUAGGAGGAUGAAAAGGGAAUGUGGAAGGGCUAGGAGCGCUAGCCCGGCCGCAGCUGCCCCCGCAACUGUGAGCGGCAAGCCAAAGGCCACAAUGUCACUGGGGCAAACCCGGGAAGACAACCUUUAGGCAGCGACCCGCGAGCCAGGAGACCUGCCGUCAUAGGGCCUUGAUC
RNAcentral lists this non-coding RNA (200 nucleotides) under Methyloceanibacter marginalis. Lineage: Bacteria; Pseudomonadati; Pseudomonadota; Alphaproteobacteria; Hyphomicrobiales; Hyphomicrobiaceae. The record is from RNAcentral.